RNAcentral lists this ribosomal RNA (421 nucleotides) under uncultured Anaplasma sp. RNAcentral's name for it is "bacterial SSU rRNA". It matches the Rfam family "Bacterial small subunit ribosomal RNA", at positions 943 to 1359 of the family's 1533-position model. Lineage: Bacteria; Pseudomonadati; Pseudomonadota; Alphaproteobacteria; Rickettsiales; Anaplasmataceae. The record is from RNAcentral.
GGUUUAAUUUGAUGCAACGCGAAGAACCUUACCACUUCUUGACAUGGAGAUUAGAUCCUUCUUAACAGAAGGGCGCAGUUCGGCUGGAUCUCACACAGGUGCUGCAUGGCUGUCGUCAGCUCGUGUCGUGAGAUGUUGGGUUAAGUCCCGCAACGAGCGUAACCCUCAUCCUUAGUUGCCAGCGGGUAAUGCCGGGCACUUUAAGGAAACUGCCAGUGGUAAACUGGAGGAAGGUGGGGAUGAUGUCAAGUCAGCACGGCCCUUAUGGGGUGGGCUACACACGUGCUACAAUGGUGACUACAAUAGGUUGCAAUGUCGCAAGGCUUGGAGCUAAUCCGUAAAAGUCAUCUCAGUUCGGAUUGUCCUCUGCAACUCGAGGGCAUGAAGUCGGAAUCGCUAGUAAUCGUGGAUCAGCAUGCCA